This 500-nucleotide ribosomal RNA is filed under the name uncultured bacterium. Its description in RNAcentral is "bacterial SSU rRNA". It matches the Rfam family "Bacterial small subunit ribosomal RNA", at positions 28 to 507 of the family's 1533-position model. The record is from RNAcentral.
AAUGAACGCUGGCGGCGUGCCUUACACAUGCAAGUCGAGCGAGAAAGCGGCUUCGGCCGUGAGUACAGCGGCGAACGGGUGAGUAACACGUGGACAAUCUGCCUGGGAGUGGGGGAUAACUCGGGGAAACCUGAGCUAAUACCGCAUGCGCGGUCUGGGCUUCGGCCCGGAUCGGAAAGGUGGCCUCUCCUUGGAAGCUGUCGCUCCCAGAGGAGUCCGCGUCUGAUUAGCUUGUUGGUGGGGUAAUGGCCUACCAAGGCGACGAUCAGUAGCCGGCCUGAGAGGGUGAUCGGCCACACUGGAACUGAGACACGGUCCAGACUCCUACGGGAGGCAGCAGUGGGGAAUAUUGCGCAAUGGGGGAAACCCUGACGCAGCAACGCCGCGUGGAGGAUGAAGGCCUUCGGGUCGUAAACUCCUGUCAGGUGGGACGAAAAAGCGUAGGCGAAUAACCUGCGCCCUUGACGGUACCACCAGAGGAAGCCCCGGCUAACUCCGUG